RNAcentral lists this long non-coding RNA (745 nucleotides) under Homo sapiens (human). RNAcentral describes it as "long non-coding RNA NONHSAT182978.1". The record is from RNAcentral. Lineage: Eukaryota; Metazoa; Chordata; Mammalia; Primates; Hominidae.
CACUUAACGGUGGUGGCUGGUUCUGCGCCGGAUCCGGGAGAGGGGCGGGCGCCAUUGUGCUUCGCUGCCGACUGCAUUUCCUCAGUCACGGGCCUAGAACUCCAAGGAGAAAGGCGGCGGUGCGUGUUGCUGCGAGUGGGACGCGCACUGGUCGGUGCCGGCUCAGGAGCCGGGAAAAAUCUUUAAGAAUGGAGUCUAAACCUUCAAGGAUUCCAAGAAGAAUUUCUGUUCAACCUUCCAGCUCCUUAAGUGCUAGGAUGAUGUCUGGAAGCAGAGGAAGUAGUUUAAAUGAUACCUAUCACUCAAGAGACUCUUCAUUUAGAUUGGAUUCUGAAUAUCAGUCUACAUCAGCAUCAGCAUCUGCGUCACCAUUUCAAUCUGCAUGGUAUAGUGAAUCUGAGAUAACUCAGGGAGCACGCUCAAGAUCGCAGAACCAGCAACGGGAUCAUGAUUCAAAAAGACCUAAACUUUCCUGUACAAACUGUACUACCUCAGCUGGGAGAAAUGUUGGAAAUGGUUUAAACACAUUAUCAGAUUCAUCUUGGAGGCAUAGUCAAGUUCCUAGAUCUUCAUCAAUGGUACUUGGAUCAUUUGGAACAGACUUAAUGAGAGAGAGGAGAGAUUUGGAGAGAAGAACAGAUUCCUCUAUUAGUAAUCUUAUGGAUUAUAGUCACCGAAGUGGUGAUUUCACAACUUCAUCAUAUGUUCAAGACAGAGUUCCUUCAUAUUCACAAGGAGCAAGACC